UUGAGUGACUGAUUAUAGAUAUCGAGUAGUUAUCGUACUCACUACUAUACAGGACUAUUUUAAACACAGUAGCAACCUAGCACUCCUAGCAGGACCGUAUUGCUGAUACCAUAACAACUCUUGAUCUACUACUUUGAUUACUACCGCCACUUUUAGCAACAAUGAUGUAAAAUAAGGAUUCGUGACAAAACUACAAGCCUUACCUACCUGUGGUAACUCACCACGGGUGCACUAAAUGAUUUCACCAGGUGAAAUAAUUUUAUUCAAGCGAUGUCUUUUCUUCACCUCGGAAUUAAUUCACCCAGAGGAAACGCCCGGGUGUCGGCAUUGCGUGGACCACCCGGAGGACACGGUGGAGCAUACAGUAGCGGUGUGCCCUGCAUGGGCAUCGCCGUGUCCUUAGGGAUGUGAUCGGCGACGGUGACCUCUCGCGUCCGGCUUUGGUUCAGGCCAUGGUGCGGAGCGAGGGGGAAUGGGACGCCGUCUCCUCCUUCUGCGAAGCAGUUAUGUUAACUAAGGAGGAGGCGGAGCGUGUGAGGGAACGAUCCUCCUCACGCUCCAGCCGCCGCAGAAGACACUCCGGGCGUCGGAGAUCGCGUGACGAUCUCCGGCCACCGUAAGUGCGGGUCUGCGGACGGCGAGCAAGGGUAGCUCGCCGUCCGACCAGAACCAGACCCGUGUGUACGGCGCGUCGCGUUCCUCGCGCGCCUCAAAGAGCCAGACCACCACAGAUGGGGCCCAGUAGGACUGAUGCCUGAUCCGGAGCUGCGGACAACGUAAAAGGUUACCGGGGCUCCGGCUCAAAGCAGGAGAAGGAACGGGGUGUUUUUUAGUCAGUAAGAGUCUGACACACCCUCCCGCCUCACCCAAGGCGGGAGAAGUCAUUGGAUGAUUGUCUCGCCUCAAAAAAAAAGGUAUAUCAAGACGAAUUUUUUUUUUUAAAAACGUUGUCCCACUCUAGGAUUUUCUCCUGUGUCGUGGGUGCGUUUACAAACAUACAAGUUCACAUACACAUGACACCCAGACCCGAAACAACAAUUUGUAGAUCACACAAAGAGUUGCUCCGUGCGGGAAUCGAACCCGCUACCCGUUGCGCGGCAGCCAGUUGCCCAGCCACCGCACCAACCGUGCAGUCAAAUCAGUCAAACAGAAUGUUUACUUAGGUGGCUAAAUGCUGUACGUCUACGAACAUGUGGUCGAAUCAUUUCACCUGACUGAUGUGACUUUGGAUGAAAUAAUGCUCAGGUGAAAUAAGAACACCAAUAAGUGGAAUAAAACUCUUCGGUUUAUCGGUGAAUCACGGCGGUGUUUACUGAUAAUGCCUAAUGUAUACCAGAAGCGUUUAAAACUGCUUUCCCUCUGACUGCACGUACAGUUCUGUCUUGUACUUGGGUGUGAACGAGUGUGCGACUAACUUAUCCUCCGAUUUCUAUAUUGAUACGAGUAUUAAUAAUGGCUGACUCCGAUUGUGUUGUGAACCCCAAGGAGUUAGGAGAGGCAGUAAAAGCUGAAGGCAAGAUCUCAGGCAGAGAUAACAACAGUAUAGAGGAACAAGUAUUAGUAAAAAAAGCGGCAGUUACUUCUUCUACGGUCCAAGUUCCCUAUAACUGUCCUAAAGAUAAGAAGAUGGCAAGUGACGGUGUCUGCCGCGAAGUAAUGUAAGGCAGUAUUUAGUACAUACUGUACUUAUACGUGCGUACGUGUAAUUAUAUUAUGUAUAUUAGUAUAUUACUACUGCACGUCCUUGGAUUCUUUUGAGUUCAAUGUAUCCUGUAAAAGAACCCUUAGUCUUAAAGAACCUAUUCAUAUUUUCAACUGACAAAUGUUGCACUCCUUUAAAUCAGAUAACGUAAUCACAUGACGUUGUAAAGGUAUUAUUGGGUUGAUUGUGUUUCUUAAUUUAAUCAAAUGUGUUUUUGUAAAGAAAUAAAUGUUAAUUAUUUGAGUACUUA
Long non-coding RNA from Spodoptera frugiperda (fall armyworm), 1952 nucleotides. RefSeq lists it as uncharacterized. The record is from RefSeq and is a predicted model, not a curated record. The transcript is spliced from 2 exons. Lineage: Eukaryota; Metazoa; Arthropoda; Insecta; Lepidoptera; Noctuidae.